CUCUUUGGAAAGGAAAAGCAAAUAUUGGGUGGCUCUAACUGAGGUCAUAGUUUCUCCAUGUCUAGACACCGCUAGUAACCGGUGCCUGCUGUACCUUCUGUGCUUCCCAUGGAUUUAUAAAUGUAUGAGUUGCUUUGUAUUUGGUUGCAUAAAAUGCACCGUGCUUCCAGACAGGUUUCAAAAUCGUAUUUUAGAUCUUUUGGGUACGUCUCUGCUCAAGCUAUUUUUUCUUGUUCCUAAAGCAAACGACUCUCUCUAUAAUGAAUCAGUGGACAAUGUGAUGGCCAUUUUCCUUAUUUUCAAACGCACCAAACAAAUCAUUUUUUACUUUUUGUAAACUAGUUAUAUUUUUAUUCCAGUGGUGCUAUAUCUUUUCUCAACUACUCUGAAUUUAAAUGAAAAAGAGAGAGUAGAAAAGGAAAUAUCUACUAAAAAUAGCAUGGAAAAAUAAUUGCUUGUUGUAGAAGAAAAUGAAUGGAAAUUAUUUUUUCAUUCUAUACUUUUUCUUCUCCUGUAGAUGGACCAUUUUGCUUUGGUUCUUUUAUUGCCUUACUAUGUCACAAUAUAUAAGAAAAGUGAAGUAUGAGAAAAGACACAGUCAUACACAUAUGUUUUUAAAGAUAGUCCAGGGAAAUAAGUCUUUAUGAAUAGGCCUGAACAAUUUUACAAACGGUAUAACUUUCGAAUUCUACAUAGUUAUUUUCUUAAACUCACCAAAUAAUCACAAAUGCAGAUCUAUAUAUAUACUUCUGCAAGCAAAAAAAGUAAUUUAUUACUUGUUAUGCCAAUGUCCAAAUAAAAUCUAGGCUCUGUGUGUGUGGCUGCUAGAAGAAACUAUGUGUUCUAAACCAUACAUGUGAGCCUCUGCGAAUAGUUCAAGACACAAAGUAUUGUUUUCAGCUUCUUUCUAUUCUGAGCAUAGAAUGUUCUGUAAUAUUUGUGGCUCCAAUUGAUUCACAUUAUGUUAUUUAGAGAAACUCAUUGUAAUAUAUUCUUUGGCAUUUGAUUCCUAGUGAUGUUUCAGGGUGGUUUUUUUGUUUUGUUUUGUUUUGUUUUUAAAUUGAAAAUAAGAUACUAGGAGCCAACAAAACCGUUUUAAAAAUCUACUCCUCAUACUUGUUAUCAAAAAAUGUUUUAAUUAUAUCAAUUUGUCUAAAGCUAAUUGUUCUCUGUGAAAAAUCUCUCACCUACGAUUAUGCUUUGUUGGUUUUGCUUUGGAAGAAGAGCAAAACUACCUUCAUGCCACCACCACCACCAUCAUAAUAGUAGUGUCAAAUUUUAGAAUUGUUUUACUGUCCAAGCAUUAAUACAGAAGGGCAUUACCCUUGCUUAUAUUUCAGAAGAGCCAAGCCCUAGUAGUUGGCUUUCUUCUUGAUGUGUGCAGAGAUUUUUGCUUUCUCGAAGAAACAAGGGGGUAUAUUGAGAAUCCAGGCAUUGUUUCAUUCACUCUUUUCACGUGCUUUUCUCUCUUGCUUGAAGCCUACCCCCUCUUGCCCCACUUACACUUGCCCUUCAGUUUGUCAUCUUAAAGCUGUACCAAAUGCUCCAAUUUCUAUUAAAUAACUUCAGUGUUUCCUAUAACAUUUUGUAUGAUUAGAGUACUGGUUAUAUUUUAUUAUAUCAAGUUAUUUCUAUGUCUCUUUCCUUCUCUGUGAAUUUUCUAAAAGCAGAGACCUCCAGGGCCUUGCCCAGCUAGUCAAUAACUGUGAAUUAAUUAACCAAUUAAUAUGUAUUAAAUGAAUGUUUUUAAACUAGUUAGCAUUUUGAAAGGCAAUUAAUUUCACUCCAUAAGUUAUACAAAAUAAAUUAUGGUUGGAACAAAAGAUUGAAUCUUAAUGAUCAUACUAUAAGGAAAUAUCACUGUAAGAGUCAGGAAAAAAUGUGUUUUUCUUAGCCGUUGACCUUGCUCCUAAGAAAUGACCAUUUAUUGUUGAUAGCUGCAUGGCGGAAGAGGUAAGACCCUAAGAGCAAGAUUGAGCGGUAAUAGCCACUUACUGAGUUUUAAGGAAUUGAGUGGAGUUAAUUGUAGAGCUUUUAUUGUCCUAACUCAGAGUAGGUAUGCAGAAUUGAAGUAAGCACUGAAUUGUUUCAGAAAAUAGAAAGGACUUCAGACACUGUGCAAAAAAUAAAUAAAUGAAAUGAGAGAAGAAAGACGAGGUUUUUGACUUAUACCAAGGGAAUUGGAAGAAAAACCAGAAUACCUAGUAGAAAAACUAAGUUUUGCCAUGUGAAAACUUAUGUGUACUAUAAUAGCUCUUCUUUUUCUCCCUCUAAAUCAUCGGCAAAAUCUGUGUUACUCUUGAGCAUAUUGUGAACUUGAAUCCAUAUUUUGAGAGAUGAAAGGGAAUCAUGAAUCCAGUUUCAAGACUGUUAUAGGACAAGACCCCACCAUAUCAGUGUUUAUAGUGAUCAAUCUAAGAAACAUGUUUAAUAGUUAUCUGGAAGCAUAGAAAUGUUUUAGAGUCUAAAAGAAUAGGAAAAAUAAAGAAUAAUGUUAUCAUAAUCAAUUGUAAGAAGUUAAAAUCCUAUGUAGUAGAAAUGUAUAUAGAUACCUACACACAUAAAAUCAAAAUUCACCAAGGAAAUAUUUGUAAGACAGGGUUACUUCAUCUGAGAGAGCUCAUAAAAAUUCAUAAGAAUACAUCAAGGCACUAAUACAGUAAAAAAAAAAAAAAAAAAAAAAAAACGAAGAGACAGUUGAUAAUUAGUAAAAAAACAUAUGGGAAAAUGCUCAGACUCACUGGUUAUUAAAAGACUGUAAAUUGAAAAAAAUAACAAGCUACCCUUUUAUAUUAUUAAAUAAGUAAAAUUUUUAAGUAAUAUUAUAACCUUUUGUGGAUGUAGGUGUUUGAAAAGUAGUAUUUACUCUUUGCUAUCAGCAGUUUAAAUUAAACACCCUUUUCAGGGAAAAAAAAAUGUUACUUUAUGUUUCAAAAACCAUAAGUAUGUUCAUAUUCUUUAACCUAGGAUUUCUGGAAUUUAUCCCAAAAAAACAAUCAAAAGGCAGAAAAUGUCAUAUGGCUAAAGUUGUUCAUGACAGAACAGAUUAAAACUGUUGAUUUUAAAAGUAAUGAUAUUUCAAAUGCUUUCAAAAUUUUUUCUUUAUGUUAUUCUCAUGUUAUGUUUGAUUUUUAAACAAAAAACCUUAAAGCCUACAUUUUUAAAACAAGAUUCUUUAUUUUCCUUUUAUCAAAAAAUAAUCAAGAUAUAAUUGUAAAUUUUGCUCAAAAGUAGAGCGAACAAAUACUAUACCAGACAGAAUGUAGCUCAUAAAAUGGUACUUUGGUUUCAGAAUUGUAAAAUCCUAAUUGUACAUUGAAAAGUCCACUAAUGGCUAUUUCUUCCAUUUAAUUCAUAUAUGGUAUUUUUCUGCUUUUAAACAAAAUAAGAUUGGUUUUACAGUGCAGUGCUGAGACAUUAUUACAGACUUCUAAUAAUAUUAAAAAUAGGCAAGCCUUAUUUUUUAAUAGUCUCAUUUUUUUUUUUUUAGCGCCAAAGAAUAACACACAUUCACUGAAGUAAAUUUGGAAAAAGGAGAAAUGAAUAAAAAAAUUCUUCCGCCUCUCAUCACCCCAAGAUAACCAUUAUUAAUAUUUUGACCUCUAUUCACUAUAUCUGUGAACAAAAAUGGCAUCAUAAUAGGCAAAAAUGUUUUGAAAUCUUUCUUUGACUUGAUGUAGCAUGAUGUACUUGUGCAUUUUUAUUAAAUAUUCUCCUGCAUCAUAAUUUUAAACCCCUGUGUUGUAUUGAAACCUGCCUUAUUUAAUUCAAUAUCAAGUGGUGAAUUAGAUCUGUUCUUCUAGAAGCAAUACCAAAAAAGGAAGUCAUGCAAACGCCUCUAAAGAAGGAGAACACAAUAAUACUGAAGGUUUUGUAACGAACACUUUUGUUCACUCCAUUCCCUCUAAGUCUGCUUUAUGGAGCAGAUGUCAAAUGUUUUUGUUUUAUUGUGAUUUUUGCCAUAGCUCAAAAGUCAAUAUUCUGCUGUCAGAUGUGGGCUUACAUGUGAAAAAUAGGGAAGCAAGUUAACUCGGAAGCACGGAGCUCAGGGAAUUGAAUUUGCAUCUAAUUCACUAAGCAUACAUGUUUACAUGACCUUUAGAAAAAGGAAUUAAACCAGUUUUGCACUAGCUGUAGGCAAUCUAAGUUAAAGAGGCAAUGGAAUCAGGAAUCUAAAAUACUCCUUACAAGAUAACCAGGCUAACAGAAAAUUACUUUAAUUCAAAUAUAUUUUACUAUUAAAUUCAUAGUCUCACUAAUAUGGCAUGUUGAGCCUAGUACAAACAAGGUGUAACUUUUAGUUCUAGCCGAGUUGUCCCAUGAACCAUAGAUUAUUUUGCUAAGCACCAAAAUGAUCCUACGUCUCCCCUAAAAUUCAAAAGGAAUAUUUUUGUUGUUGUUUUAUUUUUUUAUUUUUAUUUUUUUCAAAAGGAAUAUUUUGAAGUCUCAUUUCAAAGCAUCCAGAUUUUCUUCUGGCACUAUUGUAAAUCAGGUCCAGAACUGCAAUUAAGUAUGAUAUCUGAUAUAAAAUUGAUAUCAAAUCAGAAAGUAUAGGUUAGGGGCCAGCUUCAUCAUUAAAUGUCUAUAUGAGCCUAAGGAACUAACUUAAUUUUUGUAGAACUUACUUUUAUCACCUGUAAAUAAAAUGUCGGGUUAUAUAAUCUUCAAGAUGCUAUUUAGCUCUAGUACUUUGGUGUUUUAGUCUGCAUUCCCCAACCUUUUUGCAAAGGUCUCAAAGUGGUAUCGGUGUCGAGCUAUGGACCUGCUGCACUUUGCAGUCUCAAGGAGGGAAUAAACUAGCUAAACUCACUCUGUUCUCCAACUUCCUCACUCACUCUGAAAAACAUAAGAUUAAAUAUUUACUGAACAAAAUGAAUAUAUGAAUAAACUGCUAUAAAUAUAUAUGUAGGGCAAAGAGAAGCUUGGACUAGUAUGUCAAUACAAUAUUAUCCCUUGCCAGGACUGGGUAAAGCACAGUUAUAUUGAGUAAGCAUACAAUUCUCUUGUCUUUACUAUUUAUCAGCUCCUAUAUACAAAGGAUUCUAACAUUAAAGGAAAGGCCACAAGAAGAGGAAGGAUUAGAGUCCACACAGAUGAUACGGGAAUAAUAAAUAUUCAAGAUGUCCUUUUAAAAAAAUUCUAUCUUAGAGUUCCCAUCAUGGGGCAGUAGGUAACGAGCCCCACUAGUAUCCAUGAGGACGCAAGUUCAAUCCCUAGCCUUGCUCAGUGGGUUAAGGAUCUUGUGUAGGUCACAGACGUAGCUCAGGUCUGGCAUUGCUGUGGCUGUGGUGUAAGCUGGCAGCUACAGCUCUGAUUGGACCCCUUACCUGAGAACUUGCAUAUGCUGCAGGUGUGGCCCU
Molecule: long non-coding RNA, 5360 nt
Filed under: Sus scrofa (pig)
Lineage: Eukaryota; Metazoa; Chordata; Mammalia; Artiodactyla; Suidae
Description: lncRNA (ENSSSCG00000054604.1)
Source: RNAcentral